GUGGGGAAUAUUGGACAAUGGGGGGAACCCUGAUCCAGCCAUGCCGCGUGUGUGAAGAAGGCCUUUUGGUUGUAAAGCACUUUAAGCGAGGAGGAGGCUACCGAGAUUAAUACUCUUGGAUAGUGGACGUUACUCGCAGAAUAAGCACCGGCUAACUCUGUGCCAGCAGCCGCGGUAAUACAGAGGGUGCGAGCGUUAAUCGGAUUUACUGGGCGUAAAGCGUGCGUAGGCGGCUUUUUAAGUCGGAUGUGAAAUCCCCGAGCUUAACUUGGGAAUUGCAUUCGAUACUGGGAAGCUAGAGUAUGGGAGAGGAUGGUAGAAUUCCAGGUGUAGCGGUGAAAUGCGUAGAGAUCUGGAGGAAUACCGAUGGCGAAGGCAGCCAUCUGGCCUAAUACUGACGCUCAUGCACGAAAGCGUGGGGAGCAAACAGGAUUAGAUACCCGGGUAGUCC
This 451-nucleotide ribosomal RNA is filed under the name uncultured bacterium. Its description in RNAcentral is "partial 16S ribosomal RNA". It matches the Rfam family "Bacterial small subunit ribosomal RNA", at positions 354 to 796 of the family's 1533-position model. The record is from RNAcentral.